CUUUUUUAUUGCUGAGUAUUAUUCCAUAAUAUUGUUUGGAUGCACUACAAUGUGUUUAUUACCCUCCAAGCAUCUUGUUU
Vicugna pacos (alpaca) is the source of this 80-nucleotide non-coding RNA. The record is from RefSeq and is a predicted model, not a curated record. NCBI's taxonomy places the organism in Eukaryota, Metazoa, Chordata, Mammalia, Artiodactyla, Camelidae.